RNAcentral lists this long non-coding RNA (209 nucleotides) under Gossypium barbadense (sea-island cotton). Its description in RNAcentral is "long non-coding RNA (GBAR_LNC010515)". The record is from RNAcentral. Lineage: Eukaryota; Viridiplantae; Streptophyta; Magnoliopsida; Malvales; Malvaceae.
AAUUAGCCAAAAAAAUAACCCUUUAUCAUCAAUUGGCAAUUUUUACAAACUUUAUCCAUCAUAAAAUGCUAACCCAAGGGGUUUGAAACUUUAACCACAAAUUCGGUGAAUUCAACAAUUAUAUUUUUAUCAAAUACAAAUUUUGUGCAUACAUAUGAGUGCGUGAAACCAGGAUCAAUCAAAGCAAUAAUAUCAGUAUCAAGUAGAGA